CCCUUAGAUGUUCUGGGCCGCACGCGCGCUACACUGAUUCAUGCAACAAGUUUUGUCCUUGGCUGAUAGGCCUGGGUAAUCUUUGAACGUGAAUCGUGAUGGGGAUAGAUGAUUGCAAUUAUUCAUCUUCAACGAGGAAUUCCUAGUAAACGCAAGUCAUCAGCUUGCAUUGAUUACGUCCCUGCCCUUUGUACACACCGCCCGUCGCACCUACCGAUUGAAUGGUCCGGUGAAUUCUUCGGACUGCGGCUUUGACUCGAUUUCGGUCGAGGCGUUGCUGCGGGAAGUUGAUUAAACCUUACCAUUUAGAGGAAGGUGAAGUCGUAACA
This 329-nucleotide ribosomal RNA is filed under the name uncultured eukaryote. RNAcentral describes it as "partial 18S ribosomal RNA". It matches the Rfam family "Eukaryotic small subunit ribosomal RNA", at positions 1470 to 1796 of the family's 1831-position model. The record is from RNAcentral.